RNAcentral lists this ribosomal RNA (253 nucleotides) under uncultured bacterium. RNAcentral describes it as "partial 16S ribosomal RNA". It matches the Rfam family "Bacterial small subunit ribosomal RNA", at positions 524 to 776 of the family's 1533-position model. The record is from RNAcentral.
UACGUAUGGGGCAAGCGUUGUUCGGAAUUACUGGGCGUAAAGGGCGCGUAGGCGGCAUGGCAAGUCAGGAGUGAAAGGCCUGGGCUCAACCGAGGAACUGCUUUUGAUACUGCCAAGCUAGAGUGCGGAAGGGGCAACUGGAAUUCCCAGUGUAGCGGUGAAAUGCGUAGAUAUUGGGAAGAACACCUGAGGCGAAGGCGGGUUGCUGGGCCGACACUGACGCUGAGACGCGAAAGCGUGGAGAGCGAACCGG